AGGCCCACUAAACAAAGACGAUCCUGAAAGCGACUAUCGACUCGACGAGCUGACGUUACUCUCAACCGAUUAACCGAACGCCCCCCAUCGAAUCAAGAUCGGUAGGCGUCCGAUGUUCAGACUCUACAGACUACUUCGGCCGUCGGUAUUUCAAAAUUACUAAUCGACGACCGACCCCCGACGCAUAGUCGGCCGACCCAUUCAAAUAUGUCAUAA
This 216-nucleotide long non-coding RNA is filed under the name Elaeis guineensis (African oil palm). RNAcentral's name for it is "long non-coding RNA (EGUI_LNC031489)". Lineage: Eukaryota; Viridiplantae; Streptophyta; Magnoliopsida; Arecales; Arecaceae. The record is from RNAcentral.